Molecule: transfer RNA, 75 nt
Filed under: Chloroflexota bacterium
Lineage: Bacteria; Bacillati; Chloroflexota
Description: Chloroflexi bacterium (soil metagenome) tRNA-Arg
Rfam family: tRNA
About the family: Transfer RNA (tRNA) molecules are approximately 80 nucleotides in length.
Source: RNAcentral
GGCCCCGUAGCUCAGCGGAUAGAGCGGCGGACUUCGAAUCCGCGCGCGGAGGUUCGAUUCCUCCCGGGGCCACUA